CCUACGGGAGGCAGCAGUGGGGAAUAUUGGGCAAUGGGCGCAAGCCUGACCCAGCAACGCCGCGUGAAGGAGGAAGGCUUUCGGGUUGUAAACUUCUUUUCUGAGGGACGAAGAAAGUGACGGUACCUCAGAAAUAAGCCACGGCUAACUACGUGCCAGCAGCCGCGGUAAUACGUGGGUGGCAAGCUUAAGCCGGAUUUAUUGGGUGUAAAGGGCGUGUAGGCGGGAAAGCAAGUCAGAUGUGAAAACUAAGGGCUCAACCCUGAGCCUGCAUUUGAAACUGUUUUCCUUGAGUGCUGGAGAGGCAAUCGGAAUUCCGUGUGUAGCGGUGAAAUGCGUAGAUAUACGGAGGAACACCAGUGGCGAAGGCGGAUUGCUGGACAGUAACUGACGCUGAGGCGCGAAAGCGUGGGGAGCAAACAGGAUUAGAUACCCGAGUAGUC
RNAcentral lists this ribosomal RNA (443 nucleotides) under uncultured bacterium. RNAcentral describes it as "partial 16S ribosomal RNA". It matches the Rfam family "Bacterial small subunit ribosomal RNA", at positions 338 to 795 of the family's 1533-position model. The record is from RNAcentral.